This 688-nucleotide ribosomal RNA is filed under the name uncultured bacterium. RNAcentral describes it as "bacterial SSU rRNA". It matches the Rfam family "Bacterial small subunit ribosomal RNA", at positions 128 to 830 of the family's 1533-position model. The record is from RNAcentral.
GCCUUACAGACUGGGACAACAUUUGGAAACGAAUGCUAAUACCGGAUAUUAUGAUUGGGUCGCAUGAUCUGGUUAUGAAAGCUAUAUGCGCUGUGAGAGAGCUUUGCGUCCCAUUAGUUAGUUGGUGAGGUAACGGCUCACCAAGACGAUGAUGGGUAGCCGGCCUGAGAGGGUGAACGGCCACAAGGGGACUGAGACACGGCCCUUACUCCUACGGGAGGCAGCAGUGGGGAAUAUUGGACAAUGGACCAAAAGUCUGAUCCAGCAAUUCUGUGUGCACGAUGAAGUUUUUCGGAAUGUAAAGUGCUUUCAGUUGGGAAGAAGUCAGUGACGGUACCAACAGAAGAAGCGACGGCUAAAUACGUGCCAGCAGCCGCGGUAAUACGUAUGUCGCAAGCGUUAUCCGGAUUUAUUGGGCGUAAAGCGCGUCUAGGCGGCUUAGUAAGUCUGAUGUGAAAAUGCGGGGCUCAACCCCGUAUUGCGUUGGAAACUGCUAAACUAGAGUACUGGAGAGGUAGGCGGAACUACAAGUGUAGAGGUGAAAUUCGUAGAUAUUUGUAGGAAUGCCGAUGGGGAAGCCAGCCUACUGGACAGAUACUGACGCUAAAGCGCGAAAGCGUGGGUAGCGAACAGGAUUAGAUACCCUGGUAGUCCACGCCGUAAACGAUGAUUACUAGGUGUUGGGGGU